Molecule: ribosomal RNA, 254 nt
Filed under: uncultured bacterium
Lineage: Bacteria
Description: partial 16S ribosomal RNA
Rfam family: Bacterial small subunit ribosomal RNA
Source: RNAcentral
GACAGAGGGUGCAAACGUUGUUCGGAAUUACUGGGCGUAAAGCGCGUGUAGGCGGCUCUGUAAGUCGGGUGUGAAAUCCCACGGCUCAACCGUGGAAGUGCACUCGAAACUACAGGGCUAGAGUCCUGGAGAGGAAGGUGGAAUGCUUGGUGUAGAGGUGAAAUUCGUAGAUAUCAAGCGGAACACCGGUGGCGAAGGCGGCCUUCUGGACAGUGACUGACGCUGAGACGCGAAAGCGUGGGGAGCGAACGAGG